This 245-nucleotide ribosomal RNA is filed under the name uncultured bacterium. RNAcentral describes it as "partial 16S ribosomal RNA". It matches the Rfam family "Bacterial small subunit ribosomal RNA", at positions 109 to 354 of the family's 1533-position model. The record is from RNAcentral.
AGUAACGCGUGGGCAACCUGCCCCAUAGAGGGGGACAACAGCUGGAAACGGCUGCUAAUACCGCAUAACAAGGAGAGAGCGCAUGUUCUUUUCUUCAAAGAUUUAUCGCUAUGGGAUGGACCCGCGUCUGAUUAGCUAGUUGGUGAGGUAACGGCUCACCAAGGCGACGAUCAGUAGCCGGCUUGAGAGAGUGAACGGCCACAUUGGGACUGAGACACGGCCCAGACUCCUACGGAAGGCAGCAG